GCUAACGAUAUUCAAAAAGUACAUACCUCAAAGAAAACGAUGACGCGAGUUAUCGUCUCUAACGUUCGAGGACUACAAAAAACACUCGGAUUGUAGGCAACAGUUUACUUCCUGGGAUUAGUGACGUAGAUAAGACCAACAUUAUCAUAGUUCAGCCCUCUCUGCUUUGCUUGGGUACGCCCUCAAAGACGAGGGUGGGGAGCGCCGAGUCAGAAGAGAGCUAAAAUGGCGGAGGUUGGGAGUCCCUGCUUUCACUCUGUUUGGAAACUCUUGUUUCAUAGUUUAAGCGAUUAAAUCUCUCGAGUAGACGCUGUCUCUUUAGAUGCGAGGGCAAAAUAGCACUUUAUGGACUUACACAGAGGACAUCAUGUUUAAUACGGUUCCGGAAAAAUCCAGUCAGAAGUUGUUCACGGAGUUUUCACAAUAACUGCUUCUCAUGAACCGAAGCUGGACGUCUCCUUCUGAAAGUUGGAUUACUGUGCACUUCUGGAUCACAGGCUAUUCGCAGCUGGACACAUCCUUCUACACUGUAUGCAAACAUGCAACAUCAUAACACACAGUACAAGGAGUCAGACUGGCAUAUGAGGAGCAAAGGAACCCAGGCAGUAGCAUCGUUUCACAAUGUUUCCAUCACCAUCAUCAGUGGAUGCCUUUGCCGUCCGUAGCCUGAGAUUUCAGAUUUGCAGCAAAAAAAAUUGAUUUUCUCAUUUAUUGGAAUGCUAUGCAGGUUGUACCUUGCAGCCAUCCAUUACAAUGUCACCAAGCCGUAACAAAAGCAGGAGAGGGAAAGUACAAGGCUAUGUUCCCAAAACACAAAUGACAUACCUUAUGUGGAUGAUGUGAUCAGGCUUGUGUUUGCUGAGGUAUUUGAAGAUAAGCUGAAGGAAACCCCGAUUCCAAUGGACCUGGCAUCACAGUUUGAGAGACCUUCAAAGGAGGACGUGAUUGCAUGCCAUCUUCAGUGCAG
Paramisgurnus dabryanus is the source of this 967-nucleotide long non-coding RNA. RefSeq lists it as uncharacterized. Lineage: Eukaryota; Metazoa; Chordata; Actinopteri; Cypriniformes; Cobitidae. The record is from RefSeq and is a predicted model, not a curated record.